CUCAGUUCGGAUUGCAGGCUGCAACUCGCCUGCAUGAAGCCGGAAUCGCUAGUAAUCGCGGAUCAGCACGCCGCGGUGAAUACGUUCCCGGGCCUUGUACACACCGCCCGUCACACCACGAGAGUUUGUAACACCCGAAGUCGGUGAGGUAACCUUUUGGAGCCAGCCGCCUAAGGUGGGAUAGAUGAUUGGGGUGAAGUCGUAACAAGGUAGCCGUAUCGGAAGGUGCGGCUGGAUCACCUCCUUU
This 247-nucleotide ribosomal RNA is filed under the name Enterococcus faecium. Its description in RNAcentral is "partial 16S ribosomal RNA". It matches the Rfam family "Bacterial small subunit ribosomal RNA", at positions 1287 to 1533 of the family's 1533-position model. The record is from RNAcentral. Lineage: Bacteria; Bacillati; Bacillota; Bacilli; Lactobacillales; Enterococcaceae.